Molecule: ribosomal RNA, 252 nt
Filed under: uncultured bacterium
Lineage: Bacteria
Description: partial 16S ribosomal RNA
Rfam family: Bacterial small subunit ribosomal RNA
Source: RNAcentral
UACGUAGGGGGCGAGCGUUGUCCGGAUUUAUUGGGCGUAAAGCGCACGCAGGCGGUCUCUUGCGUUUUGAGUGACAGGUGAUGGCUUAACCAUUGCAGGCCUUGAAAUACGGGGAGACUUGAGGACUUCAGAGGGAUGCGGAAUUCCAGGUGGAGCGGUGAAAUGCGUAGAGAUCUGGAAGAACACCGAAGGCGAAGGCAGCAUCCUGGGAAGUAUCUGACGCUGAGGUGCGAAAGCUAGGGGAGCGAACGG